GAUGAACGCUGGCGGCGUGCCUAAUACAUGCAAGUCGAGCGAACGGACGAGAAGCUUGCUUCUCUGAUGUUAGCGGCGGACGGGUGAGUAACACGUGGAUAACCUACCUAUAAGACUGGGAUAACUUCGGGAAACCGGAGCUAAUACCGGAUAAUAUUUUGAACCGCAUGGUUCAAAAGUGAAAGACGGUCUUGCUGUCACUUAUAGAUGGAUCCGCGCUGCAUUAGCUAGUUGGUAAGGUAACGGCUUACCAAGGCAACGAUGCAUAGCCGACCUGAGAGGGUGAUCGGCCACACUGGAACUGAGACACGGUCCAGACUCCUACGGGAGGCAGCAGUAGGGAAUCUUCCGCAAUGGGCGAAAGCCUGACGGAGCAACGCCGCGUGAGUGAUGAAGGUCUUCGGAUCGUAAAACUCUGUUAUUAGGGAAGAACAUAUGUGUAAGUAACUGUGCACAUCUUGACGGUACCUAAUCAGAAAGCCACGGCUAACUACGUGCCAGCAGCCGCGGUAAUACGUAGGUGGCAAGCGUUAUCCGGAAUUAUUGGGCGUAAAGCGCGCGUAGGCGGUUUUUUAAGUCUGAUGUGAAAGCCCACGGCUCAACCGUGGAGGGUCAUUGGAAACUGGAAAACUUGAGUGCAGAAGAGGAAAGUGGAAUUCCAUGUGUAGCGGUGAAAUGCGCAGAGAUAUGGAGGAACACCAGUGGCGAAGGCGACUUUCUGGUCUGUAACUGACGCUGAUGUGCGAAAGCGUGGGGAUCAAACAGGAUUAGAUACCCUGGUAGUCCACGCCGUAAACGAUGAGUGCUAAGUGUUAGGGGGUUUCCGCCCCUUAGUGCUGCAGCUAACGCAUUAAGCACUCCGCCUGGGGAGUACGACCGCAAGGUUGAAACUCAAAGGAAUUGACGGGGACCCGCACAAGCGGUGGAGCAUGUGGUUUAAUUCGAAGCAACGCGAAGAACCUUACCAAAUCUUGACAGCCUUUGACAACUCUAGAGAUAGAGCCUUCCCCUUCGGGGGACAAAGUGACAGGUGGUGCAUGGUUGUCGUCAGCUCGUGUCGUGAGAUGUUGGGUUAAGUCCCGCAACGAGCGCAACCCUUAAGCUUAGUUGCCAUCAUUAAGUUGGGCACUCUAAGUUGACUGCCGGUGACAAACCGGAGGAAGGUGGGGAUGACGUCAAAUCAUCAUGCCCCUUAUGAUUUGGGCUACACACGUGCUACAAUGGACAAUACAAAGGGCAGCGAAACCGCGAGGUCAAGCAAAUCCCAUAAAGUUGUUCUCAGUUCGGAUUGUAGUCUGCAACUCGACUACAUGAAGCUGGAAUCGCUAGUAAUCGUAGAUCAGCAUGCUACGGUGAAUACGUUCCCGGGUCU
RNAcentral lists this ribosomal RNA (1372 nucleotides) under uncultured bacterium. RNAcentral's name for it is "bacterial SSU rRNA". It matches the Rfam family "Bacterial small subunit ribosomal RNA", at positions 28 to 1381 of the family's 1533-position model. The record is from RNAcentral.